ACGCACCUUCGGGUGAGUGGCGGACGGGUGAGUAACGCGUGGGAACGUGCCCUUUGGUACGGAACAACUGAGGGAAACUUCAGCUAAUACCGUAUGUGCCCUUCGGGGGAAAGAUUUAUCGCCAUUGGAGCGGCCCGCGUUGGAUUAGGUAGUUGGUGGGGUAAAGGCCCACCAAGCCUACGAUCCAUAGCUGGUCUGAGAGGACGACCAGCCACACUGGAACUGAGACACGGUCCAGACUCCUACGGGAGGCAGCAGUGGGGAAUUUUGGACAAUGGGGGCAACCCUGAUCCAGCCAUGCCGCGUGAGUGAAGAAGGCCUUCGGGUUGUAAAGCUCUUUCAGCCGGAAAGAAACGGUCACGGUGAAUAUCCGUGACUAAUGACGGUACCGGCAGAAGAAGCACCGGCUAACUACGUGCCAGCAGCCGCGGUAAUACGUAGGGUGCGAGCGUUAAUCGGAAUUACUGGGCGUAAAGCGUGCGCAGGCGGUUUUGUAAGACAGAUGUGAAAUCCCCGGGCUUAACCUGGGAACUGCAUUUGUGACUGCAAGGCUAGAGUACGGCAGAGGGGGGUAGAAUUCCACGUGUAGCAGUGAAAUGCGUAGAUAUGU
This 610-nucleotide ribosomal RNA is filed under the name uncultured bacterium. Its description in RNAcentral is "bacterial SSU rRNA". It matches the Rfam family "Bacterial small subunit ribosomal RNA", at positions 66 to 699 of the family's 1533-position model. The record is from RNAcentral.